RNAcentral lists this ribosomal RNA (253 nucleotides) under uncultured bacterium. RNAcentral describes it as "partial 16S ribosomal RNA". It matches the Rfam family "Bacterial small subunit ribosomal RNA", at positions 524 to 776 of the family's 1533-position model. The record is from RNAcentral.
UACGGAGGGAGCUAGCGUUAUUCGGAAUUACUGGGCGUAAAGCGCACGUAGGCGGCUUUGUAAGUCAGAGGUGAAAGCCUGGAGCUCAACUCCAGAACUGCCUUUGAGACUGCAUCGCUUGAAUCCAGGAGAGGUGAGUGGAAUUCCGAGUGUAGAGGUGAAAUUCGUAGAUAUUCGGAAGAACACCAGUGGCGAAGGCGGCUCACUGGACUGGUAUUGACGCUGAGGUGCGAAAGCGUGGGGAGCAAACAGG